CGCGAGCUGGCAUCACCUCCUUUCUAUGAACCUUUCUAUCGAACGGCAGCACGGACUUCGGUCUGGUGGCGAGUGGCGAACGGGUGAGUAAUGUAUCGGAACGUGCCUAGUAGCGGGGGAUAACUACGCGAAAGCGUAGCUAAUACCGCAUACGCCCUACGGGGGAAAGCAGGGGAUCGCAAGACCUUGCACUAUUAGAGCGGCCGAUAUCGGAUUAGCUAGUUGGUGGGGUAACGGAUCACCAAGGCGACGAUCCGUAGCUGGUUUGAGAGGACGACCAGCCACACUGGGACUGAGACACGGCCCAGACUCCUACGGGAGGCAGCAGUGGGGAAUUUUGGACAAUGGGGGAAACCCUGAUCCAGCCAUCCCGCGUGUGCGAUGAAGGCCUUCGGGUUGUAAAGCACUUUUGGCAGGAAAGAAACGUCAUGGGCUAAUACCCCGUGAAACUGACGGUACCUGCGGAAUAAGCACCGGCUAACUACGUGCCAGCAGCCGCGGUAAUACGUAGGGGUGCAAGCGUUGAUCGGAAUUACUGGGCGUAAAGCGUGCGCAGCGGUUCGGGAAAGAAGAUGUGAAAUCCCAGAGCUUAACCUUGGAACUGCCUUUUUACUACCUGACUAGAGGUGUCAAAGGGAGGUGGGAAUCCCCGGUACCAUGAAUGCGUAAAUUGCGGAGGAACCCGA
This 686-nucleotide ribosomal RNA is filed under the name Achromobacter sp. Pe39. RNAcentral's name for it is "bacterial SSU rRNA". It matches the Rfam family "Bacterial small subunit ribosomal RNA", at positions 67 to 711 of the family's 1533-position model. Lineage: Bacteria; Pseudomonadati; Pseudomonadota; Betaproteobacteria; Burkholderiales; Alcaligenaceae. The record is from RNAcentral.